Vombatus ursinus (common wombat) is the source of this 1198-nucleotide long non-coding RNA. RefSeq lists it as uncharacterized. The transcript has 4 exons. NCBI's taxonomy places the organism in Eukaryota, Metazoa, Chordata, Mammalia, Diprotodontia, Vombatidae. The record is from RefSeq and is a predicted model, not a curated record.
GCAGAGGGCAAGGCAGAGGCUGGGCGCAGGUGCGCGGCGCUGUACCAGGUGUCUCCCGACCAGCCAUGAAGACAACUGGAGCAGGUGCCAUGGAGUGCUUAGAGCUUGGUCCAACAUCAAAGAUGCCGAGGUCAUCCAACUCAUCAUCAAUAGUCCUGACUUUUGUCCUGCCACUGGACUUCAGUGACUCUGCAAGAGAGUUCGAGGCUGAUGACUUUGUGAAUCUCUGUCUCACUUAAAUCCAAUUCACAAGCAAGAAUUUUCCUUUUCUGAAUAUUGUGAAGUAGGACCAGCCUUCCGCUGUCUAUCUGAGUGGCAGUCUCCUAGGGAUUCCUGCCCUAUAAGACAUUGAAUGAAAACAAAAGGUAUGCAAGGGAUACGGUAUAUAAAUAUGAAAUUAUAUACAAUUCUUUACAUAAAUUUAAAUGCAUGUGUCACUGGCACCAACAGAUCCUGCAAAAGAGCUGAAAUCUAUUGGAAAAAGACCUUAAAUCAAUUUGUGCCUUCCAGUCCUCCCGGCAGUGGGUCGGUGGGAGAAAGGAGGUGAGGGAAAGGAGGAGGGAGUUUUUCAUUUUGGACCCAGUCUUUAGCCCUAUCCCAGAGAAGCCGACCCAGCCUAGGCCAGAGGACUCCUGGACUGACUGCGCACGCAUUACUUCUGGAGAGCUGGGUCACUGAGGAACCAUCUCAACACAUUUGGGCUCUCCCUCUACCUUCAAACUCUAGAAACGGCUAAGUAUGCAUAUGUAUACCUCCUCAUUGCUCCCAUUGUAUUCCCAGGCAGUUAAGCUUUCUCAGUUUUCUGCACUGAGUUGAGUAGCAACACAGAUAACCCAAACUAUGGAGAACUUAUUUCUACUUGGUUUUGUGAUAGGAUUCUUCCUGCUGGAUUCACCAAAAGUGGUCUCUCCCACUUCAUUCCGCUGGGUUUCUGGCGGUGGAUUUGCCUUCUCUGAACUCAACAAGGAUUGAUAGUGCUUAGCAGGGUACCUCAACACAGAAAUGGAUUGAGAAGUGGGAAGAAGGAAUGAUCCAGAGGAGAGAUAUCUACCCAUCGACAAGCAGGAGCUGUCAGAACAAAUCAGCACCAUUAGGCAGGUCUAAACCAAUACUAGACCUAACCUUCGGUCCUCCUUUCGCUCUUUUUCUCCCUUGUCCUCUUCUUGCCUCCCUCUCUACUCUCUCUCCCUCUGUUUUC